AUACGGAGGAUGCGAGCGUUAUCCGGAUUUAUUGGGUUUAAAGGGAGCGUAGGUGGGAUAUUAAGUCAGCUGUGAAAGUUUGGGGCUCAACCUUAAAAUUGCAGUUGAUACUGGUUUCCUUGAGUACGGUACAGGUGGGCGGAAUUCGUGGUGUAGCGGUGAAAUGCUUAGAUAUCACGAAGAACUCCGAUCGCGAAGGCAGCUCACCGGGCCGGAACUGACACUGAUGCUCGAAAGUGCGGGUAUCAAACAGGAUUAGAUACCCUGGUAGUCCGCACAGUAAACGAUGAAUACUUGUUUUCGGCGAUAUAAUGUCGGAGGCAAAGCGAAAGCGAUAAGUAUUCCACCUGGGGAGUACGCCGGCAACGGUGAAACUCAAAUGAAUUGGCGGGG
RNAcentral lists this ribosomal RNA (393 nucleotides) under uncultured bacterium. RNAcentral describes it as "partial 16S ribosomal RNA". It matches the Rfam family "Bacterial small subunit ribosomal RNA", at positions 523 to 918 of the family's 1533-position model. The record is from RNAcentral.